This is a long non-coding RNA of Anser brachyrhynchus (Pink-footed goose), 2420 nucleotides long. The record is from Ensembl. Lineage: Eukaryota; Metazoa; Chordata; Aves; Anseriformes; Anatidae.
ACUGUUCUGAGGAAAAAAUGUUAACUUUGCAGAGAUUGUAUGCAAAAGGAAAAAGCUGACUGUAAACAUUAGAGAGAAAGAGCAAAUAAAUUCCUGGUUUAAGACAAAGACUCCUGACCUCUCUCUGAGCAGAGGAGCUGAUGGCAAUAACCAGUAACUGAUAAACAGCUCAGCUUAUGAAAGUAUCUGCAUGUUUUGUUUCUGACUCUGUGCUCUGUAGCUCGUGUAGGACAGGUUGGAGCUGUAGCAGGUAUUACAACCGGGUGCAGCGUGGCAGCGGGAUGGGAAGCACCGGAGAAUCAGUCGCUCUGCACAAACCCGUGCCAGCCAGCAGAGCACCUCGCCCCACUCCCUCGCCCGGGGCUUGCUCACAAAAGCACCCACAGCGGCAGGAGAGACCUCCAGGCUCCUCCAGAAGGAACACGGGCUGAGAUGGAAACGUUACUGGCUUUUAUCACUAGUGGAAACGAGGCACAUUUCAUUAAGUUCAGCAGUAUUUUUGCGCUGUGCAUAGCACUCGUGUGCUGAUUUUUUAAACACACGUGGAAUUAUGGUAAUGCAGUUGUUAUUGGCACUGAAGACAAAAUCAGGUUCUUGGAAAACUUAGAAAGGCAUGAGUCAAAUCGAACUGCAAAGUCUGCCCUGUGGAGACCAAUUCCCGCAUAGGAAGCACUGUGCGAGCACUGGAAAUCUCCUGCAAAAGACUCUGCAGAGACCGCGGGUCCCUGGAGCACGGUCUCGUGUUCGUGAGAGUUGCCUCCUCCUGCUCGCCCGUGACCCGACCGUCUCUCUGGGGCCUCUCAUCGCCCGUACCGUGAUCUGCUCGGGGACGCGGAGCGAGGAGGAGCUGGGCAGCGCACAGCAGCAGGACAGCCGGCCGUGCUGAGGGAGCCCCCUCCUCGGCACCGUGCGUCCCGCUGCCUCCCACCGCCGUGCCUGUUUCGCUUCUCACCUGUCCUUUGGCUGGAAAAGUUGCUCAGAGCCGGGAGGCCCGUGCAGCAGGGCAGUGUGUGCAGGAGAGCUGAGCCCGCUGGGCGCUGCAUGCUGCUCCUGCCCAUCGCUGCUGAGACCGGGAAGAAGAAAGGAAUGCCACCUCCCACCGGCUCGUUUCCUCCCCCCUGCUUGGUGUCUGAAGCAGCUUCACUUCUGUUUGUCUCAAUUGCUGUGUAGAACACACACUUCCACGUAUAACUUGAAGAAUGCAUGUUUGAAUAGCUUGCUGGCGUGUCCAAAUGAAUUUUCUACUGCAAACACAAUAGUACAUUUACAAAUUAACUGGAAAUUUCUGAAAAUAUUUCCCCAAAAAUAUGAACGCAGCAUAAUGUAUCUACAGGGGUACGAUGAAGGUUAUAUUUUCCCUUCCAAUAGUGAAGAUGUAAUUGGGAAUUUAGUGGCUGUAGUAUUCUACCUGCAAGAAAAACAAUUUAUUUAUUUAUUUAUUUAUUUAUUUAUUGCAUGAGUAGAAGAUGGUCAUAUAGCAUGAGAGGACAUGAGGACCAAGCAUAUUUUUAGAAUGUGUUCUGUAAGCGCAAAACCUGAAAUUCUGGGUAUUUAGAAUACAUUGAAUUUGAGAAGUACUUGUAAUCUUGGAGCCAAAAACCAUCUUACCCAAAGUUAGUGCAUUUAGUACAUCUUUUCCUAGUGGACCAGAUGUAUUCUUAUGAGUUUGAACUAAGGCAAGAUUCGGAGUUGCCCAGACGGGCUCAGAUUCCCAGAGGGGCACGCACGCUGCCUCCUCGCUGCUGAGCGCCCGCCUGGUGCGUGCGUUCCGCUGGGGUGCGGGGCUGGGGCACGGCUGGGACGGGGCUGGUGGCUCUGCGGCAGGGGUGGCAGCGUCACACGGAAAGUUGAGUCCAGCCCCUGCGCUGGAGCAAGGGAGGUUGGGGCUGGAGUGGCAGAAAAGGCGUGCGAGAUGGAGCAGCCAGCGGAGGCUUAAUUGCUGCCAAGGGCACGGGCUGAGGGGAGGCGCGGGCAGCCCCAGGUGCCCCCGAGCAGGUCACAGCAGCGCUAUUUCAGACACGCUCCUUGGCUUGUGAUGUGGAACAGUCCAGUAAUUUCUACUGUAUCAAUUAAUUGUGAGAGACAUUUUCACCUGUUUUGUUACCCUGUGGGUCAAUCCGAUCACAAAAGGAAAAAUAUGCCUGGACCACGAGACAAUUUGGAUAGACCCUGCUGUCUGUGAUUUAUUGUUUUAAUUAAAAGCUUUUUAAGCUUUAAUUAAAAAGGUACAUGAGCACUCAGUAUUCAAGAAAAAUGCUUUUGUGUUUAGGUCAAUUGAAUAACGUAAAAUAUAAUGAGAUACAUAUUUCUAGUCUGGAGCUUCACAUGAAAAAAAGCAAUAUACAUAAUUAAAAAGUAAAUUCAAACUGAUAGAAGAGAGCUGUUGUCAGACAAAAUAAAAGGUAUGCCUUAAAUUAACA